UCUCCGUUGGUGAACCAGCGGAGGGAUCAUUACCGAGUUUACAACUCCCAAACCCCAUGUGAACCUUACCAAACGUUGCUUCGGCGGGAUGCCCCGGGCGCGGGCCGCAAGGCCUCAGCCCCGGAACCAGGCGCCCGCCGGGGGCCCAAACCAAACUCUUGUUUUUGUAGAAUCUUCUGAGUGGCCUUCUAGGCAAAAAAUGAAUCAAAACUUUCGACAACGGAUCUCUUGGUUCUG
RNAcentral lists this unclassified non-coding RNA (237 nucleotides) under plant metagenome. Its description in RNAcentral is "partial contains small subunit ribosomal RNA, internal transcribed spacer 1, and 5.8S ribosomal RNA". The record is from RNAcentral.